ACCCUCUCAGGGUCGCCCCUGGAGUUUACAGUGCUCUACCAGUCUCGGCUAUGGGAGGGAGAGUCAGGUAGAGGCCUAUCCAUUCCAUUCCUAGCUUAGCCAGGGGCUAGCGAGUGGAAGGCAAUCUGCUACAGGU
Small nucleolar RNA from Tachyglossus aculeatus (Australian echidna), 136 nucleotides. The record is from RefSeq and is a predicted model, not a curated record. Lineage: Eukaryota; Metazoa; Chordata; Mammalia; Monotremata; Tachyglossidae.